CAGGGAAGAGGAAACCAGGGCCCCCAGGGAGAUGCCGGCACUGGGGUGGAAAGGGGACCAUUCUGGAAGGCAGACGACCCAAGUCUCCAUUCCUGUGGGGCUCCCUGAGGACAGUGAUGCCACCAACAGAAACACAGGAGUCUCCGUAGCUGGCAGAGGGGCGAGACGAGGGGGAAAGGGUCACAAUGAGAUGAAAAAUCGCUGAAGGGAGGAUGCAGGAAGUAGGUGGACAGCCAGGGGUUCCAAGACCAGAGGGGCUACCCUACCAGAGAGAUGGAUACUGCAGAGAAGAGGAGACUGGCUCCCCAAAAAGAAAGGAAGUGACACCCCGCACAGACACGCGGGCAAAACCCCACAGUCAGAAGUUGUCCCACCCACUAGGGAGGGGCCCCCCCUGUCCAGUGGCUCCUCCAACCCCCAGAGGCGGGAAGAUGAAAAUCAGGAGACCAUUCCAACAACUAAGAUGGGCCCUGACGCCAACGUCCAGGAAAAGGGGGCUCCCGGGACUCCAGAAGCAAUGUCCCUCUGCCAAGUGGCCCCUCGGAUGGCCAAGGGAGGAGCCCGAU
Long non-coding RNA from Bubalus bubalis (water buffalo), 566 nucleotides. RefSeq lists it as uncharacterized. NCBI's taxonomy places the organism in Eukaryota, Metazoa, Chordata, Mammalia, Artiodactyla, Bovidae. The transcript has 2 exons. The record is from RefSeq and is a predicted model, not a curated record.